Molecule: ribosomal RNA, 497 nt
Filed under: uncultured bacterium
Lineage: Bacteria
Description: partial 16S ribosomal RNA
Rfam family: Bacterial small subunit ribosomal RNA
Source: RNAcentral
GAUGAACGCUGGCGGCGUGCCUAAUACAUGCAAGUCGAGCGAACGGACGAGAAGCUUGCUUCUCUGAUGUUAGCGGCGGACGGGUGAGUAACACGUGGAUAACCUACCUAUAAGACUGGGAUAACUUCGGGAAACCGGAGCUAAUGCCGGAUAAUAUUUUGAACCGCAUGGUUCAAAAGUGAAAGACGGUCUUGCUGUCACUUAUAGAUGGAUCCGCGCUGCAUUAGCUAGUUGGUAAGGUAACGGCUUACCAAGGCAACGAUGCAUAGCCGACCUCAGAGGGUGAUCGGCCACCUGGGAACUGAGCCACGGUCCAGACUCCUACGGGAGGCAGCAGUAGGGAAUCUUCCGCAAUGGGCGAAAGCCUGACGGAGCAGCGCCGCGUGAGUGAUGAAGGUCUUCGGAUCGUAAAACUCUGUUAUUAGGGAAGAACAUAUGUGUAAGUAACUGUGCACAUCUUGACGGUACCUAAUCAGAAAGCCACGGCUAACUACGUG